UUUUUUGAACUAUUUACCUAUCUAGCCUCUUUACAAAAAAAUAUUUCCUAUCUAGCCUCCUUUUGAAAAAUAUUCCCCAUCUAGCCUUAUUUUCAAAGAUUAGAGAAAAAAAGAGAAAUUAAUUUCUUUAAUAUAUAUUAAGGGGUUAAGUGAAGGAGAUUAUCUUUUUCUCUCUCAUCUCCUAUUAAUUUUUAUAUCAAAAUAAUCUUGAUCCCAUUCGGCCUAUAAAUUUCAUGUUUUAAUGUAUUAAAACCUAAAAUACGAGAAAUUCAAAUAGUUUUUGGAUCAAGAUCAUUAUAAUCAACUCCUUCCGAACCAUGCAUAAUAUUUUCAUCAAAAUAUAAAAAGAUUAAAAUUGGUUGCUGCGCCAUGUGAAAAUUUUCUAUUUUGAAAUAAAUUGAUAUGAGAUAAAUUAUACACAAAAAUUAGGGAGUGAGAAGGGAUCUCGGGAAAGGAGAGAGAAAAAGGUAAUCUCCCCCACUUAACCCUUUAAUAUAUAUUAAAGGUAUUAAUUUCUCUUUUUUUCUUUAAUCUUUGAAAAUGAGGCUAAAUGCGGAAUAUUUUUCAAAAGAAGGCUAGAUAGGAAAUAUUUUUUUGUAAAGAGGCUAGAUAGGUAAAUAGUUCCAAUUUUUUAAAUAUAGAAUAUUAUAUUACUAUUUUCUAGCUGUUUAAGUUUUUAGUGCCAGCCAAUUUUGUAUAGUAUAAAAAAAUACGAUAAUUAUUUUGGAGCCUAAAUACUUAUAUAAUUUAGAAUAUAAAUAG
Molecule: long non-coding RNA, 762 nt
Filed under: Ananas comosus (pineapple)
Lineage: Eukaryota; Viridiplantae; Streptophyta; Magnoliopsida; Poales; Bromeliaceae
Description: long non-coding RNA (ACOM_LNC002539)
Source: RNAcentral